AGUUCUGCAGACUUACCCUCCCAUGACUACUUAGCUGAUUAGACAUUUAAAAUACAGCAACAUCUCUAAGAUAUGUUAUGUUGGCAAAAUUCUCAAUAUAUUCUUUACAACUGAUUGAUAGAAGGAAAUGUCCCUGGAAUCUCUAUAGUUUGCCGUUCCUUUUUCUCUAACAACCAGGAUGCAUCCUUCCUGUGGUGGGUUCAUCUGAGAUCAGGAUAUACAGAAAAAUGAACAUUUAAUCAACAGACAUGGCGUACAUUGUAUAUACAAUGAUGUUGACAAUCCAAUCUUGUAUCCAAACCUUAAUAAAACAA
This is a long non-coding RNA of Rhineura floridana, 314 nucleotides long. RefSeq lists it as uncharacterized. The record is from RefSeq and is a predicted model, not a curated record. The transcript has 3 exons. Lineage: Eukaryota; Metazoa; Chordata; Lepidosauria; Squamata; Rhineuridae.